GAUGAACGCUGGCGGCGUGCCUAAUACAUGCAAGUCGAGCGAACAGACGAGGAGCUUGCUCCUCUGACGUUAGCGGCGGACGGGUGAGUAACACGUGGAUAACCUACCUAUAAGACUGGGAUAACUUCGGGAAACCGGAGCUAAUACCGGAUAAUAUAUUGAACCGCAUGGUUCAAUAGUGAAAGACGGUUUUGCUAUCACUUAUAGAUGGAUCCGCGCCGCAUUAGCUAGUUGGUAAGGUAACGGCUUACCAAGGCAACGAUGCGUAGCCGACCUGAGAGGGUGAUCGGCCACACUGGAACUGAGACACGGUCCAGACUCCUACGGGAGGCAGCAGUAGGGAAUCUUCCGCAAUGGGCGAAAGCUUGACGGAGCAACGCCGCGUGAGUGAUGAAGGUCUUCGGAUCGUAAAACUCUGUUAUUAGGGAAGAACAAAUGCGUAAGUAACUAUGCACGUCUUGACGGUACCUAAUCAGAAAGCCACGGCUAACUACGUG
RNAcentral lists this ribosomal RNA (497 nucleotides) under uncultured bacterium. Its description in RNAcentral is "partial 16S ribosomal RNA". It matches the Rfam family "Bacterial small subunit ribosomal RNA", at positions 28 to 507 of the family's 1533-position model. The record is from RNAcentral.